AUGCGUCCUGGUCGGAUGCGGA
RNAcentral lists this small RNA (22 nucleotides) under Arabidopsis thaliana (thale cress). RNAcentral describes it as "Ath_wt_07693". Lineage: Eukaryota; Viridiplantae; Streptophyta; Magnoliopsida; Brassicales; Brassicaceae. The record is from RNAcentral.